AGCAGCCGCGGUAAUUCCAGCUCCAAUAGCGUAUAUUAAAGUUGUUGCAGUUAAAAAGCUCGUAGUUGAAUUUCGGGGUCAGUAGUCUGGUCGUGCCACUGGUAUGUACUGGGCUCACUGAUUCCUCCUUCCUGAUGAACUGUAAUGCCAUUAAUUUGGUGUUGCAGGGAAACUGGACUGUUACUUUGAAAAAAUUAGAGUGUUUAAAGCAGGCUAACGCUUGAAUACAUUAGCAUGGAAUAAUGAAAUAGGACGUUCGAUCCUAUUUCGUUGGUUUCUAGGAUUGACGUAAUGAUUAAUAGGGAUAGUUGGGGGCAUUAGUAUUCAAUUGUCAGAGGUGAAAUUCUUGGAUUUAUUGAAGACUAACUACUGCGAAAGCAUUUGCCAAGGAUGUUUUCAUUAAUCAAGAACGAAAGUUAGGGGAUCGAAGACGAUCAGAUACCGUCGUAGUCUUAACCAUAAACUAUGCCGACUAGGGAUCGGAUGAUGUUAAUUUUUAAUGA
RNAcentral lists this ribosomal RNA (503 nucleotides) under uncultured Glomus. RNAcentral's name for it is "SSU rRNA". It matches the Rfam family "Eukaryotic small subunit ribosomal RNA", at positions 569 to 1074 of the family's 1831-position model. Lineage: Eukaryota; Fungi; Glomeromycota; Glomeromycetes; Glomerales; Glomeraceae. The record is from RNAcentral.